GAUGAACGCUGGCGGCGUGCCUAAUACAUGCAAGUCUAGCGAACAGAUGAGGAGCUUGCUCCUCUGACGUUAGCGGCGGACGGGUGAGUAACACGUGGAUAACCUACCUAUAAGACUGGGAUAACUUCGGGAAACCGGAGCUAAUACCGGAUAAUAUAUUGAACCGCAUGGUUCAAUAGUGAAAGACGGUUUUGCUGUCACUUAUAGAUGGAUCCGCGCCGCAUUAGCUAGUUGGUAAGGUAACGGCUUACCAAGGCAACGAUGCGUAGCCGACCUGAGAGGGUGAUCGGCCACACUGGAACUGAGACACGGUCCAGACUCCUACGGGAGGCAGCAGUAGGGAAUCUUCCGCAAUGGGCGAAAGCCUGACGGAGCAACGCCGCGUGAGUGAUGAAGGUCUUCGGAUCGUAAAACUCUGUUAUUAGGGAAGAACAAAUGUGUAAGUAACUAUGCACGUCUUGACGGUACCUAAUCAGAAAGCCACGGCUAACUACGUG
RNAcentral lists this ribosomal RNA (497 nucleotides) under uncultured bacterium. RNAcentral's name for it is "partial 16S ribosomal RNA". It matches the Rfam family "Bacterial small subunit ribosomal RNA", at positions 28 to 507 of the family's 1533-position model. The record is from RNAcentral.